GAUGAACGCUGGCGGCGUGCCUAAUACAUGCAAGUCGAGCGAACGGACGAGGAGCUUGCUCCUCUGACGUUAGCGGCGGACGGGUGAGUAACACGUGGAUAACCUACCUAUAAGACUGGGAUAACUUCGGGAAACCGGAGCUAAUACCGGAUAAUAUAUUGAACCGCAUGGUUCAAUAGUGAAAGACGGUCUUGCUGUCACUUAUAGAUGGAUCCGCGCUGCAUUAGCUAGUUGGUAAGGUAACGGCUUACCAAGGCAACGAUGCAUAGCCGACCUGAGAGGGUGAUCGGCCACACUGGAACUGAGACACGGUCCAGACUCCUACGGGAGGCAGCAGUAGGGAAUCUUCCGCAAUGGGCGAAAGCCUGACGGAGCAACGCCGCGUGAGUGAUGAAGGUCUUCGGAUCGUAAAACUCUGUUAUUAGGGAAGAACAUAUGUGUAAGUAACUGUGCACAUCUUGACGGUACCUAAUCAGAAAGCCACGGCUAACUACGUG
RNAcentral lists this ribosomal RNA (497 nucleotides) under uncultured bacterium. Its description in RNAcentral is "partial 16S ribosomal RNA". It matches the Rfam family "Bacterial small subunit ribosomal RNA", at positions 28 to 507 of the family's 1533-position model. The record is from RNAcentral.